This 218-nucleotide long non-coding RNA is filed under the name Phoenix dactylifera (date palm). RNAcentral's name for it is "long non-coding RNA (PDAC_LNC001510)". Lineage: Eukaryota; Viridiplantae; Streptophyta; Magnoliopsida; Arecales; Arecaceae. The record is from RNAcentral.
CGCAUUAAUGGUGGAGUAAGCCGGAGAUCCGCAUUUAUUAUGGAGUAAGCCGGAGAUCCGCAUUAAUGGUGGAGUAAGCCGGAGAUCCGCAUUAAUGGUGGAGUAAGCCGGAGAUCCGCAUUAAUGGUGGAGUAAGCCGGAGAUCCGCAUUUAUUGUUGAGUGUGCCGGAAGAUUACAGCGACCACGCGCAAUAAAUGCCGGAGGGGUGUUAGAGUAC